This is a long non-coding RNA of Bos taurus (domestic cattle), 825 nucleotides long. Lineage: Eukaryota; Metazoa; Chordata; Mammalia; Artiodactyla; Bovidae. The record is from Ensembl.
GCAAACCGCAUGUCACCCAGACUGGCCCCAAAGUCAGCCAGCUACUUGCCAACCAGAGCUCGCAGGGCCCGGACGAGAACCCGCUUCUCUCGAUUCCAGGCUGUGUCGUUUCUAGUGUCUCCUCCUGGAUGUCGCCACCUUCUUGCUGAGCAAGGGCAUUAGGAGGUGCAUGGUGAAGGGCCGGGUGAAGGACAGCUAGUCUCUGCCAGGGAACUAGUUAUGCUGAAGCUUGGAGUCCACACUGAGCAGGGUGCUCGGAGGCCAGGCUGAGAGGCAGCAGGGGCCACCCCUGUGUACUCAGGAAACCGCUCAGCCUAGAGAUUCCACCCCAUCAAACCCCGAUGUCUGGAUAUCUGUCAAGGAGGGUGGCGACAGCACGGGUGGAUUCCCCGGGCAGGGGCGCUGGUACCCGUGGCCUGGGACUCCGUAUCCCUCCGGAGCUGGAUCUUCACCAGGUGUUUGGGGUUUCCCACAGAUAAAGCCGGAAGGAGCUCCUGUGAUGGCGAGGCAGGCCCCGCCUCCUGCUUCCCCGAGGGAUUCGAGUGUCUCGGCUGCUGACUUGCUUGAAGAGAGCAGCGGCUCUAAAGAGAUGUCGUGGGAGCAGACGUCUUGGACAGAAGUGCAGUGGCGUGUGUCCAGGGCCCAGUCCUCUGGGAGCUGCCCACCCCGCUUGGGAGCAGAGCCCCCAGCCCUGAAAUCGCUGGGCCAGGGCCAGGCGGGGCGAAUCCCCUCUACCCAGUCGGGUACCAGUGCCCUGGGCGCCCCCAUCAAGGACACCAGGGUUUGCACGACAGGGUAGGAGAAGAGGAAUGCGUUUGGUUGCUG